AGCGCAUACGGUGGAUGCCUUGGCAGUCAGAGGCGAUGAAAGACGUGGUAGCCUGCGAAAAGCUUCGGGGAGUCGGCAAAAAGACUUUGAUCCGGAGAUCUCUGAAUGGGGGAACCCACCUAGGAUAACCUAGGUAUCUUGUACUGAAUCCAUAGGUGCAAGAGGCGAACCAGGGGAACUGAAACAUCUAAGUACCCUGAGGAAAAGAAAUCAACCGAGAUUCCCUUAGUAGUGGCGAGCGAACGGGGAUUAGCCCUUAAGCUUCAUUGAUUUUAGCGGAACGCUCUGGAAAGUGCGGCCAUAGUGGGUGAUAGCCCCGUACGCGAAAGGAUCUUUGAAGUGAAAUCGAGUAGGACGGAGCACGAGAAACUUUGUCUGAACAUGGGGGGACCAUCCUCCAAGGCUAAAUACUACUGACUGACCGAUAGUGAACCAGUACCGUGAGGGAAAGGCGAAAAGAACCCCGGAGAGGGGAGUGAAAUAGAACCUGAAACCGUAUGCGUACAAGCAGUGGGAGCCUACUUGUUAGGUGACUGCGUACCUUUUGUAUAAUGGGUCAGCGACUUAUAUUCAGUGGCAAGCUUAACCGUAUAGGGUAGGCGUAGCGAAAGCGAGUCUUAAUAGGGCGUUUAGUCGCUGGGUAUAGACCCGAAACCGGGCGAUCUAUCCAUGAGCAGGUUGAAGGUUAGGUAACACUGACUGGAGGACCGAACCCACUCCCGUUGAAAAGGUAGGGGAUGACUUGUGGAUCGGAGUGAAAGGCUAAUCAAGCUCGGAGAUAGCUGGUUCUCCUCCGAAAGCUAUUUAGGUAGCGCCUCAUGUAUCACUCUGGGGGGUAGAGCACUGUUUCGGCUAGGGGGUCAUCCCGACUUACCAAACCGAUGCAAACUCCGAAUACCCAGAAGUGCCGAGCAUGGGAGACACACGGCGGGUGCUAACGUCCGUCGUGAAAAGGGAAACAACCCAGACCGCCAGCUAAGGUCCCAAAGUUGUGGUUAAGUGGUAAACGAUGUGGGAAGGCUUAGACAGCUAGGAGGUUGGCUUAGAAGCAGCCAUCCUUUAAAGAAAGCGUAAUAGCUCACUAGUCGAGUCGGCCUGCGCGGAAGAUGUAACGGGGCUCAAACCACACACCGAAGCUGCGGGUGUCACGUAAGUGACGCGGUAGAGGAGCGUUCUGUAAGCCUGUGAAGGUGAGUUGAGAAGCUUGCUGGAGGUAUCAGAAGUGCGAAUGCUGACAUGAGUAACGACAAUGGGUGUGAAAAACACCCACGCCGAAAGACCAAGGGUUCCUGCGCAACGUUAAUCGACGCAGGGUUAGUCGGUUCCUAAGGCGAGGCUGAAAAGCGUAGUCGAUGGGAAACAGGUUAAUAUUCCUGUACUUCUGGUUACUGCGAUGGAGGGACGGAGAAGGCUAGGCCAGCUUGGCGUUGGUUGUCCAAGUUUAAGGUGGUAGGCUGAAAUCUUAGGUAAAUCCGGGGUUUCAAGGCCGAGAGCUGAUGACGAGUCGUCUUUUAGAUGACGAAGUGGUUGAUGCCAUGCUUCCAAGAAAAGCUUCUAAGCUUCAGGUAACCAGGAACCGUACCCCAAACCGACACAGGUGGUCGGGUAGAGAAUACCAAGGCGCUUGAGAGAACUCGGGUGAAGGAACUAGGCAAAAUGGCACCGUAACUUCGGGAGAAGGUGCGCCGGCUAGGGUGAAGGAUUUACUCCGUAAGCUCUGGCUGGUCGAAGAUACCAGGCCGCUGCGACUGUUUAUUAAAAACACAGCACUCUGCAAACACGAAAGUGGACGUAUAGGGUGUGACGCCUGCCCGGUGCCGGAAGGUUAAUUGAUGGGGUUAGCGCAAGCGAAGCUCUUGAUCGAAGCCCCGGUAAACGGCGGCCGUAACUAUAACGGUCCUAAGGUAGCGAAAUUCCUUGUCGGGUAAGUUCCGACCUGCACGAAUGGCGUAACGAUGGCGGCGCUGUCUCCACCCGAGACUCAGUGAAAUUGAAAUCGCUGUGAAGAUGCAGUGUAUCCGCGGCUAGACGGAAAGACCCCGUGAACCUUUACUGUAGCUUUGCACUGGACUUUGAGCCUGCUUGUGUAGGAUAGGUGGGAGGCUUUGAAGCGUGGACGCCAGUUCGCGUGGAGCCAUCCUUGAAAUACCACCCUGGCAUGCUUGAGGUUCUAACUCUGGUCCGUGAUCCGGAUCGAGGACAGUGUAUGGUGGGCAGUUUGACUGGGGCGGUCUCCUCCUAAAGAGUAACGGAGGAGUACGAAGGUGCGCUCAGACCGGUCGGAAAUCGGUCGCAGAGUAUAAAGGCAAAAGCGCGCUGACUGCGAGACAGACACGUCGAGCAGGUACGAAUGUAGGUCGUAGUGAUCCGGUGGUUCUGUAUGGAAGGGCCAUCGCUCAACGGAUAAAAGGUACUCCGGGGAUAACAGGCUGAUACCGCCCAAGAGUUCAUAUCGACGGCGGUGUUUGGCACCUCGAUGUCGGCUCAUCACAUCCUGGGGCUGAAGCCGGUCCCAAGGGUAUGGCUGUUCGCCAUUUAAAGUGGUACGCGAGCUGGGUUUAGAACGUCGUGAGACAGUUCGGUCCCUAUCUGCCGUGGACGUUUGAGAUUUGAGAGGGGCUGCUCCUAGUACGAGAGGACCGGAGUGGACGAACCUCUGGUGUUCCGGUGGUCACGCCAGUGGCAUUGCCGGGUAGCUAUGUUCGGAAAAGAUAACCGCUGAAAGCAUCUAAGCGGGAAACUUGCCUCAAGAUGAGAUCUCACUGGGAACUUGAUUCCCCUGAAGGGCCGUCGAAGACUACGACGUUGAUAGGCUGGGUGUGUAAGCGUUGU
Molecule: ribosomal RNA, 2832 nt
Filed under: Pseudomonas aeruginosa
Lineage: Bacteria; Pseudomonadati; Pseudomonadota; Gammaproteobacteria; Pseudomonadales; Pseudomonadaceae
Description: bacterial LSU rRNA
Rfam family: Bacterial large subunit ribosomal RNA
Source: RNAcentral